RNAcentral lists this ribosomal RNA (484 nucleotides) under uncultured bacterium. RNAcentral's name for it is "partial 16S ribosomal RNA". It matches the Rfam family "Bacterial small subunit ribosomal RNA", at positions 29 to 523 of the family's 1533-position model. The record is from RNAcentral.
AGUGAACGCUGGCGGCAGGCCUAACACAUGCAAGUCGAACGAUGAACCCGGAGCUUGCUCCGGCGGAUUAGUGGCGAACGGGUGAGUAACACGUGAGUAACCUGCCCUUGACUCUGGGAUAAGCGUUGGAAACGACGUCUAAUACCGGAUACGAGCUGGGACCGCAUGGUCACUAGCUGGAAAGAAUUUCGGUCAAGGAUGGACUCGCGGCCUAUCAGUUAGUUGGUGAGGUAACGGCUCACCAAGACGACGACAGGUAGCCGGCCUGAGAGGGGGACCGGCCACACUGGGACUGAGACACGGCCCAGACUCCUACGGGAGGCAGCAGUGGGGAACAUUGCACAAUGGGCGAAAGCCUGAUGCAGCAACGCCGCGUGAGGGACGACGGCCUUCGGGUUGUAAACCUCUUUUAGCAGGGAAGAAGCGAAAGUGACGGUACCAUAGGAGGAAGCCCCGGCUAACUACGUGCCAGCCGCCGCUGUAA